GCAAGGAUAAAAACGCAACGUGUGGAAUCUACAAAUUCCAUGCCAGAGCCGGUAGGUAGCCCGGCCGUCCUGAAUUUCAGGGUAAGUAACCUGCCUCCUAUGGUUGUCCAUUUCUUG
This 117-nucleotide non-coding RNA is filed under the name uncultured Treponema sp. RNAcentral describes it as "yjdF RNA". It matches the Rfam family "azaaromatic riboswitch aptamer (yjdF RNA)", at positions 6 to 91 of the family's 101-position model. The record is from RNAcentral. Lineage: Bacteria; Pseudomonadati; Spirochaetota; Spirochaetia; Treponematales; Treponemataceae.